Long non-coding RNA from Tigriopus californicus, 1256 nucleotides. RefSeq lists it as uncharacterized. The record is from RefSeq and is a predicted model, not a curated record. The transcript is spliced from 4 exons. Lineage: Eukaryota; Metazoa; Arthropoda; Copepoda; Harpacticoida; Harpacticidae.
UCAUAUUGCCCAAACUAUGAAAACAGGGCUUAUUCCAAAAUAUUCGUUCAAGAACUAUCUCAAAACUGCCGAUAAAAAGUUUGAUGAGCUCUUUUAUUAGCUGUUGAAGCAGCCAAAUAUUCCGUCUUAAGAUGGAACAACAUUAAAUUGUGACCCUUGGCUAAAUGCACCUGCCUUUCAUUUGUCAGAGUAGAAAUACAUGUUUUCAAAGGACUCAUUUGCCUCUUCUGCGUCAUUUUAGUGUCUUCAACUAUGCAGCAAGUGGUGUUAUCUUGUGCCUUUAUUUCUUUGCGACAAUCUACGACUCCAUUUAACCCCAUGGACCCUGCUCAAGCUCUGGAUUUGACAUACUCACUUUCUCGCCUCUUCUUCAGCUUGACGUUGAAGUUCGUCAUAAGACAUGGCAACAAUAGCCAAGAUCAAGUUGAUCAGGACCGUCCUCACCUUAAGACAAGUGAAUCCAUCGGGACAAUUUCCGGCUCCUGACGAGUUGCCGCACAUCACCAAUUGACCCGUCGAGGGUGAGGCAAACCAAUUGGAUGCAUUGUUGGUCCAUAGCUCAUAGUCAAGAUCAAUGUUCCCCGUUUUGUUGACGAACUCACUGUCGGUGAAGAAAUCCUUGACACAGAUCUGCGACAAAACGCCCAUAUAGAUUUGUAAUCCAAGCAAGGCAAACACGGCCAGAACGAAGAUGCCAGGGAUAACAGCCACGGACUUCAUGGCUCGAAACACCCGGAAAGUCCUGAGGGCCGAGAAGCUUCCCAAGUCAAUGGCAAUGGUCACAUAGGACAUGGCGAUCACAAUGAAGUCCAGCCAAUUCCAAGCAUCUCGAAGUGAGCACAUCAUGAUCAGCAUGAAGCCAGAGCCAGAGCCAGAAGCAGCCAAUGUUAUUGAUAUCAGGAUGAUGGUCUGAACAUCUGGUGCGAAAGUGGGAUCGCUCUGCGGAACCCGUCCCACUUCCUACGCUCAUAAGCGAUCAACGAGGAUGUUCAAUGGAAUAUACAUAGUACAUUGUACAGUGGGUUGGAAUGCCCAAAGGAGGUGAAAGAGGAAAGAGAAGAGGGAAAUGGACCAUGAACACACCAGAGUCAACUGAUGUCACGACCAUAAAUAUGAACAUCUGUGGAGUGCUUUUCUUUGUGUCACACGUCGCCCUCUGUGAACCUAGGGGUACAAUGUACUCGGCUGUAAAUGUUGAGAGCGAUCAAGCAGCAUGUUAGAGAAUUAAACGGAGAUCAUCAUUGUAGCAUCGACAA